This 548-nucleotide ribosomal RNA is filed under the name uncultured Glomeromycotina. Its description in RNAcentral is "SSU rRNA". It matches the Rfam family "Eukaryotic small subunit ribosomal RNA", at positions 548 to 1097 of the family's 1831-position model. Lineage: Eukaryota; Fungi; Glomeromycota. The record is from RNAcentral.
UUGGAGGGCAAGUCUGGUGCCAGCAGCCGCGGUAAUUCCAGCUCCAAUAGCGUAUAUUAAAGUUGUUGCAGUUAAAAAGCUCGUAGUUGAAUUUCGGGGUCAGUAGGCUGGUCGUGCCACAGGUAUGUACUGGUCUCACUGAUUCCUCCUUCCUGAUGAACCGUAAUGCCAUUAAUUUGGUGUUGCGGGGAAUCUGGACUGUUACUUUGAAAAAAUUAGAGUGUUUAAAGCAGGCUAACGCUUGAAUACAUUAGCAUGGGAUAAUGAAAUAGGACGAUCGAUCCUAUUUUGUUGGUUUCUAGGAUUGACGUAAUGAUUAAUAGGGAUAGUUGGGGGCAUUAGUAUUCAAUUGUCAGAGGUGAAAUUCUUGGAUUUAUUGAAGACUAACUACUGCGAAAGCAUUUGCCAAGGAUGUUUUCAUUAAUCAAGAACGAAAGUUAGGGGAUCGAAGACGAUCAGAUACCGUCGUAGUCUUAACCAUAAACUAUGCCGACUAGGGAUCGGAUGAUGUUAAUUUUUUAAUGACUCAUUCGGCGCCUUACGGGAAA